Molecule: non-coding RNA, 1069 nt
Organism: Paramormyrops kingsleyae
Lineage: Eukaryota; Metazoa; Chordata; Actinopteri; Osteoglossiformes; Mormyridae
Source: RefSeq, a predicted model, not a curated record
UUAUAUGGAGGGCCCUUUUUGAUGUCACAACAGAAUUGAAUUCCGGAAUGGCAUAUGACAUCAUUGACUGGUCAGUGAUGUCACAGAAGAUUUUCUAUAUAAAGAACACUGUCACCUUCACAUUUCAUUCUUUGCGACUAUUUCAAAGCAGCCACUAGUUUCAUUAGUUCUGAGAAGGAAAGUCAGUAUGGGUUUAAGUUGUGCUAAGGCGCAGGGCCCCAGACCAAAACAGGAUGAGGGCCCGAAAAAGAAGUGUGCUUUCCUCAGUUGCUGGAGAAGACUGAGGAAGAGACGGCAUGAUGAGAAUGACAGGGUGAGCAUGGCUGAAGUGAGCCUUGAGCUGCCCAGUGAGAGUUCAGCUGAAAACUCCAUCAAAGAAAGUGUAGAGCAGAUGAGCAGCCAGUACGAAACGGCAAGCUCGGGAUCGGAAGAUGAUGGAGAUCAGCUUCGACGAAGAAUCGUCAGAAGUAGACUGGGUAGGGGAACCACCCAGUCAAUUAAAAAAGGAGACCAACAGCGGGUGAGAUGCAGGGUCGAUAAAAGACGAACCCGAUCUGAAUCAGAUCUGAGGAGACCCGCUGAGAAGCAACAGCGACGGCCUAUGAGGCAAUUUAAUUGGAGGAGACCAGUUCCGACAAGGACAAAGUCUGACACUGAACUGGUGAGGCCCACAACGUCAGACUGAGCAGAGCCCAGCUGCGGACUGGGCCUGGAGAGGGACACCAGACUCCUGUGGCUCCACAUGCGCCACUGCGCCUCACUGUGUUUGCCCGCAGCUAUACCCGUGGAUCCCAGUGGUCACUGUAACUGCAGCUCUGCUCUGCAUGCGCCUCUCUGUUUUCAUAUACAUGCAGAGAUACAAAAAAUGGGGCAGGAGAGGAUUGAUGGAGGACGACUGCUGUGGAUUCACACAGCAUGCAGCCCACUGUGACCUCUGACCUUAGCCUAACCUCUGCAAGCCACUCCUCCACGUGUUCAUUUUGACACACACUGAAGUCUGGUUGAACUGUAAAAAGGGGCAUACAGCCUCAUUUUGAAUGAUUAUUAAGCAAUAAAAUCUUUCAUUAAA